This 452-nucleotide ribosomal RNA is filed under the name uncultured bacterium. Its description in RNAcentral is "bacterial SSU rRNA". It matches the Rfam family "Bacterial small subunit ribosomal RNA", at positions 328 to 794 of the family's 1533-position model. The record is from RNAcentral.
CUUCCAGACUCCUACGGGAGGCAGCAGUGGGGGAUAUUGCACAAUGGGGGGAACCCUGAUGCAGCGACGCCGCGUGAGUGAAGACGGCCUUCGGGUUGUAAAGCUCUGUCAAUCGGGACGAAGAAGAUGACGGUACCGAUGAAGGAAGCCCCGGCUAACUACGUGCCAGCAGCCGCGGUAAUACGUAGGGGGCAAGCGUUAUCCGGAUUUACUGGGUGUAAAGGGGGCGCAGACGGCAGCGCAAGCCAGGAGUGAAAGCCCGGGGCCCAACCCCGGGACUGCUCUUGGAACUGCGCGGCUGGAGUGCAGGAGGGGCAGGCGGAAUUCCUGGUGUAGCGGUGAAAUGCGUAGAUAUCAGGAGGAACACCGGUGGCGAAGGCGGCCUGCUGGACUGCGACUGACGUUGAGGCCCGAAAGCGUGGGGAGCAAACAGGAUUAGAUACCCUCGUACU